ACACGACUACAUUAGAUACCCCUGUAGUCCAGGGUGUAAACGCUGCGGGCUUGGUGUUGGGGGUCCUUUGAGGGCGCCCAGUGCCGGAGAGAAGUUGUUAAGCCUGCUGCUUGGGGAGUACGUCCGCAAGGAUGAAACUUAAAGGAAUUGGCGGGGGAGCACCGCAACGGGAGGAGCGUGCGGUUUAAUUGGAUUCAACACCGUAAAACUCACCAGGGAAGACUGUUACAUGAAGGCCGAGAUGAAGACUCUGCUAGAUUUUCAG
Molecule: ribosomal RNA, 265 nt
Filed under: uncultured archaeon
Lineage: Archaea
Description: partial 16S ribosomal RNA
Rfam family: Archaeal small subunit ribosomal RNA
Source: RNAcentral